GUGUCAGCCGCCGCGGUAAUACGGAGGAUCCAAGCGUUAUCCGGAAUCAUUGGGUUUAAAGGGUCCGUAGGCGGUCUUAUAAGUCAGUGGUGAAAGCCCAUCGCUCAACGAUGGAACUGCCAUUGAUACUGUAAGACUUGAAUGCUUAGGAAGUAACUAGAAUAUGUAGUGUAGCGGUGAAAUGCUUAGAUAUUACAUGGAAUACCAAUUGCGAAGGCAGGUUACUACUAAGUGAUUGACGCUGAUGGACGAAAGCGUGGGGAGCGAACAGGAUUAGAUACCCUGGUAGUCCACGCCGUAAACGAUGGAUACUAGCUGUUCGGAGCAAUCUGAGUGGCUAAGCGAAAGUGAUAAGUAUCCCACCUGGGGAGUACGCACGCAAGUGUGAAACUCAAAUGAAUUGACGG
RNAcentral lists this ribosomal RNA (407 nucleotides) under uncultured bacterium. RNAcentral's name for it is "bacterial SSU rRNA". It matches the Rfam family "Bacterial small subunit ribosomal RNA", at positions 505 to 916 of the family's 1533-position model. The record is from RNAcentral.